RNAcentral lists this long non-coding RNA (919 nucleotides) under Gossypium raimondii (Peruvian cotton). RNAcentral describes it as "long non-coding RNA (GRAI_LNC009070)". The record is from RNAcentral. Lineage: Eukaryota; Viridiplantae; Streptophyta; Magnoliopsida; Malvales; Malvaceae.
UCUUCUUCAAUUCUUUCCUCCAUGGCCGACUGUAGCAAGGGAACACCAUGGUUAGGGUUUGUUCAUCUUCCAAGCUUCAUGGUAAGUCCGUUCUAGCCCCGUUUUUCUUGUUCUUUAUAUUUUUAGAAUCCCGGUAAAUUGCAUAAUCUAAUUCUACUAUUAAUUCGAGCUAGAAUUUAUGUUUGAAAAAUUACCCAUAGAUGAAAAGUGUGAAUUUUGAUGUUUCAUGACAGGAUAUGAAGCUUAGAGUUAUGUUAAACGAUUUUUGCUAAUCGAUUUUCAGCGAAAACGAGUAAAACGACAUAAUUGGUAAAAAUACCUAAUGCUCAUAAGUAAGUGUUAGAGUGGGAAUUUGAUGUUGGCUUAGAAGGGAAAAAUGUUCAGUAUGUCAUAAAACAUAAGAAUAAGAGAGGAAGUUUAAUUUUUGAGCUUUGAGGCUAAAGUGUAAAUAUGUAAAAGUUUAGGGGCAAAAUUGUAAUUUUUCUAAAGUUUGAGUUAAGGACUGUUUUGAUGAAUGUGCAUGUUAAAUAAGUCAAAUGUGUUAUUAUAGUUCAAGAAAGAUGUGGAAUCUACCUUGAUCGGAGAAAAGAAAAGAUUAAAGAUUAAAGACUAAAUUGCUAAAUUUCUAUAUUGUUGCACCAAAGUAAGUAUGUAUGUGAAUUUAUGUAUUAUUUUAAUGUUAUUCAAUAAAUUUUUGAGAUUUGAUUGAAUAUAGAAUAAAUAUUUGAUGUAGAAUAUAAGAAGUUGGUUAAGUUUGAGAAAUGUGGUAAAAUGUUGAAAAACAAGGUUUCCGACUGAACACUCGGAAUAGACCGGAAUACAUUGAAUAAAAAGGGGUUGCUAAGUGCUGAUUCCCCGAAUUAUUGAAUCUAAAGGUGGUUGCUAUGUGCUGAUUUCACCCUAUCUUUGAUUGUGAAAG